This 4131-nucleotide long non-coding RNA is filed under the name Gadus morhua (Atlantic cod). Its description in RNAcentral is "lncRNA (ENSGMOG00000026068.1)". Lineage: Eukaryota; Metazoa; Chordata; Actinopteri; Gadiformes; Gadidae. The record is from RNAcentral.
AGACCAGAGAGAACGUGUGUUUGUGUGUGUGUGUGGGUGUGUGUGUGCGUGUGUGACGUGUGUGUGCGCGCGUGUGUGUGUGUGCGUGUGUGUAUGUGUAUGUGCGUAUGCGUGCGUGUGUGGGAGUGUGGGGGAGAGGGAGGGUGGCCACAAGUUCGUGUGUCCGGAGGUAAGACGAUGAAGGGUUGAAUUCAAACGGCAGACGCUACACAUCAAACACAAUUAAUAGAUCAUCACAUCACACAACAACGUGCGUGCAUUGCCCAAUCUUGAUGACGGUCCGACUACAUGUCGCAUCCAACUUCUAGUGCGUGAUGCGGAGAGUUGUGGGUAGGGGAGGGGAGCAGACAGGAUCGGGAGGAGGAGGAGGAGGAGGAGGAGGAGUAGGAGGAGGGGGAGGGGGAGGGGGGGGGGGGGGGGGGGGGGGGCGGGCAGCGAGAAAGCAUGUCAGCACUUGUUUUGAACAGCGAGAGAGGGCGUGGCGAGCAAAGACACCAGUGAGUGAAAGCCUGCCAGGACUACCACAUUGAAGAGCUCUCACCACAAGCAAGUCACGACAGCAUCUCGGGACGAUCACUCUCCCGUACCAUAAACUUGACUGUUGACACUAUUGCGUGGAAUUAUAAACGAAGACUGAUUAUCGCCUAAUUCGCGCCUAAUCGACGAUUCGAAAAAGCAAACAAACCAGAGGGACGUAUACCGUGGAAUGGUUUUCUUAAGUGGACCUUGUUUAUUAUAUUCUCACCUCGGGCGCUUCACCACGGCUUGAAUCAUCGUCCGCUGUUUGUUUGGCAGAUUUUGCGUCCGAUGUCCACUUGUUACCAUCGGUUAGUGACCCGCGGACAGAUAAUUUCUCACCACGGAUCGCCAUACACGCCAAGCUGCCAUUGAGAUGGCUCGUGCAGAGACACUGGAGAGUGCAGGAGCAGGAGGAGGUGGAGGAGGAGGAGGAGGAGGAGGAGGAGGAAGAGGAGGUGCAGAGGGAGAGAGAGGAGGCUCUCUGGUCCGGCCCAGCAGCUGUCGCAUGGAGCGGCCCAUUCCGGGCCUGGAGUCAUGGCCCAGCCUGCUCUCAACCACCCCUACCACCACCUCCAGCAGCUACGACCUCCACCAGAGCCUGAACCUCCCCCGGGCCCUCCCCCGGGCCACGGCCCUCCUCCUUCAAGGCCCGCCGCGGCCUCGGCCCCCCCAGGCCCCCAGCUCCACGAAGGAGGAGGAGGAGGAGGAGGAAGAGGAGGAGGAGGAAGAGGAGGAGAGACCCAGGGCUGAGGACAGGUUGUGUUCUGGGGAACCACCAGCAGAGAUGACGGGCUCUGGCAGAGAGGAGCGACAGGAGGCCUCCAGGGAGCAGGGCCCUCUGGCUGACAUGCAGGCCCAGGAUGAGCAGCCUUGCUGGGGCUCGGCCCGCCGCAGGGAGGCCGCGGUGGAAGCGGAGGAUAUUAGGCGUAUAGCUCAACGGCUGACGUUCAUCGGAGACCAGAUCAACACCACCGUUCUCUUUGUAGCUGAUGCUGCCCCCCAGUGGAGACACUUCAGAACGUGCCUCCACCUUCUCAACUUUGUCUCCCAGGCAUUCAACAACCUCUACCACUUCAGAUAGGACACCCUUUACCCGUUACCAUGGAUACCCCCCCCCCCCCCCCCCCCCCCCCCCCCCCCCCUCCUGAUUGGCUUCCCUUUUGUUGGAUGGAUCCAGCAGUGGAACAGUUCAGUGCCACUGGUCUGGUGACUCCGGUCCUAAGCCACUCUAAGGGGACUCCUCUUGGCGGACUGCGGGGGGAUCCUUCCCAUUAAUGAGGGGUCUGGGACUGCUGGCCCAGACUGGAACCGCGGCCGCGGUUCUGUACAUUCUGUAAAUGUGUUGGCUUUCUUCCGUUGUGUUUACUAGCUUUUUGGUUGACUUGCAUUUUGUUUUUGAGGGACGUAGCUUCUUGUGUAGCAAUGUGUGUGUGCGAGUGACUCUUAUGUGUGGAGGACUGAUAUCUGAGUUUGCAGCACUUGGAUGCUGGAGGAAGGAAUGCGCGCCUGAAUCCACCUGCUCUGGAGAAAACUGGAGAUCAUUCAUCCCAACGAUCCUUCAAGCCCAUCGCACGACGUGCCUUCCUACAAGACGUAAACGUGCACACAAUUUGACAAUCGCAACCUCAUCCCCGCUAGUGGAUGAGAGUGGCUAACGCUAGCUGCAGUGAGCAGCUAGCGUGCAAGAUAGCUGUUAAUGCCUAUAUUGCAGAGACGGAGUACUGCAAUCUGAAGCCACCAGAAAGCCUGUGGAAAUGAUGGGAUCAGGACUACCUGACGCAUACACACACACAUACAAACACAUACACACACACACACAAACACUGGCGCGCACACAAACACACGCAUACACGUGGUAAAUGAUGGUGUUUGUGCACACUGUAGAGGAUGGUGCCAGUAUUUUAUCUCAGAGAUUUGGAUAUUAGCCAGUUAAUUUAGAAGCUUUUUGAAGGAUCGGUUUUUGAGCUAAGAAUCAACUUGAAAGUCGUUAAAGCGAAUUCAAUGGUUGUGUUCGAGUUCUGUGACACCUGCAGCUCAUGCAGUUUAUGUUAUGUUUUGGACUGCAUCGUGGAAGCAGUAGAGCCAGAUUACAAGAUUUGAAUCCAGUGGAUUUGAACAUUUCCUGAGAGUAAAAAGAUAUAUAUCAAUCGAUUUAUAAAGAUAUGAUUUGGAUUGAUAUAUAGAUAUGAAAUGGAUCGAUAUAGAUAUGAUUUAGAUCUUUUGAAAAGGUAUCAAUUGAUGAACUGAAUGAUCCCUUACAUUUUGUGCAAAAAAAAACAACGUGUUUAUAUCAGGACCAUUAUUUAUUUUGAAAAGGAGUUUUGCCUUGUUUAUGUUUUUCUACGUUUGUUUUUUUAACUUUCGUAUAAUGAUUAAUUUAUUUGUUCCUUUACAUUCCAGAUUACGUUUCUAUUUAAAAUGUUUAUUUUCAAUAAUGUAACAAUAAUCCUCUCCCAUAAUUGUCUAAACUCCUUUACAAUUUCAAUCAAUUUGAAUCAAACUGCUGUUAUAGUUUUGAUGAUCGGUUUCUGUUCGGGCAGGCCUACGCUGCUAGGUUCAAGUUGGCUCGGUCAGCCCCUCAUCUUCUGUUAGAGCCGCUCAACUAUCAAGACAUUAUUCAGCCGUCAGGAAGCUUUCAUUUGGUUUCUUUCUGUCUAAUAACCACUGUCACUGCCAGACCCAAAUGUCAUGAAAUCGGAGUCCUUUGUAUCUUUCUCUUCGGGCCUUAUGUGUUCUCGUGUGAUGGUUCUCAGUUCACUGUUCUCCUGUUAGCAUUUCAAACAGUUAUGUUGUGUAUUGUCCUGCGCAGCUACAAACACGCAGUUUUGUUAGACAACAGCGACAUUUACAUUUUUCUAAAUACUUCAAAUGGUUGUGUUUGACAAUUUUCCAUGGUAUUUUACUGGGCAAAAAAAAGGACGAGGCACUUCCGAACAUUUCCGGUAGACUUCCUGUAGUGGAACGUAACGUCCUGUGGUCCUCUCUUUGACUUCCUUGUUGAACAGUGCACUUCCUGGUUACGAGGCUGAAGUUUUGCUGGUCAGCCUGCAGCCCUGCACCAAAGGUUUCGGUGCAGUGUAUAUUUCUGUUUUCUACAUGAAUUUUGUACUUAUUUUCAUUUCACUUUUUUAUAUAAUAAAGAUACGUUGAUAUACAUAUCCUGUUCUUUCUGCCUCUUAAGUGUGUGUGUGUGUGGGUGCCUGUGUGUGUGUGUUCGUGUGUCAAUAUGUGUGUGUGUGUGUGUGUGUGUGGCAGGCGUGUGUACAUAGUGAACAUUGUUGUGUGUGUCACCACGACGCCCAUCAGCAAAGGUGAACCCAGUUCAGCUCCAAGAAUGAGGGCUGUGUGUGUGUGUGUGUGCGUGUGCGUGUGCGUGUGUGUGUGUGUGUGUGUGUGUAUAUAUGAUGGCUUAAUUCGAGAAGACCACUUCCAACUGAUAAGUGGAGAUAACUUGACCACACACACACACACGCACACACACACACACACACAUGGCUAGUGUGCUGACAGUAAGACAGUAGUCCAAUGCUUCCACAGUGUGGAUGGAGGAAGCUGGAAACUUGUAUUGACGUGACCUUGGCUGCAGACAGCCCGACCCCAUGAGCUUUUGAA